GCGUGACGGCGCGAGCAGGUGCGAAAGCAGGUCAUAGUGAUCCGGUGGUUCUGAAUGGAAGGGCCAUCGCUCAACGGAUAAAAGGUACUCCGGGGAUAACAGGCUGAUACCGCCCAAGAGUUCAUAUCGACGGCGGUGUUUGGCACCUCGAUGUCGGCUCAUCACAUCCUGGGGCUGAAGUAGGUCCCAAGGGUAUGGCUGUUCGCCAUUUAAAGUGGUACGCGAGCUGGGUUUAGAACGUCGUGAGACAGUUCGGUCCCUAUCUGCCGUGGGCGCUGGAGAACUGAGGGGGGCUGCUCCUAGUACGAGAGGACCGGAGUGGACGCAUCACUGGUGUUCGGGUUGUCAUGCCAAUGGCACUGCCCGGUAGCUAAAUGCGGAAGAGAUAAGUGCUGAAAGCAUCUAAGCACGAAACUUGCC
This 420-nucleotide ribosomal RNA is filed under the name Escherichia coli. Its description in RNAcentral is "partial 23S ribosomal RNA". It matches the Rfam family "Bacterial large subunit ribosomal RNA", at positions 2379 to 2798 of the family's 2925-position model. Lineage: Bacteria; Pseudomonadati; Pseudomonadota; Gammaproteobacteria; Enterobacterales; Enterobacteriaceae. The record is from RNAcentral.